This 77-nucleotide transfer RNA is filed under the name bacterium. RNAcentral describes it as "tRNA-Arg". It matches the Rfam family "tRNA". From Rfam's summary of the family: Transfer RNA (tRNA) molecules are approximately 80 nucleotides in length. The record is from RNAcentral.
GUCUCCUUAGCUCAGCUGGAUAGAGCACCUCUCUUCUAAAGAGGUGGCCGCAGGUUCGAAUCCUGCAGGGGACACCA